This 429-nucleotide ribosomal RNA is filed under the name Chloroflexota bacterium. Its description in RNAcentral is "Chloroflexi bacterium partial 16S ribosomal RNA". It matches the Rfam family "Bacterial small subunit ribosomal RNA", at positions 355 to 776 of the family's 1533-position model. Lineage: Bacteria; Bacillati; Chloroflexota. The record is from RNAcentral.
UGGGGAAUAUUGCACAAUGGGCGCAAGCCUGAUGCAGCCAUGCCGCGUGUGUGAAGAAGGCCUUCGGGUUGUAAAGCACUUUCAGCGGGGAGGAAGGCGUUAAGGUUAAUAACCUUGGCGAUUGACGUUACCCGCAGAAGAAGCACCGGCUAACUCCGUGCCAGCAGCCGCGGUAAUACGGAGGGUGCAAGCGUUAAUCGGAAUUACUGGGCGUAAAGCGCACGCAGGCGGUCUGUCAAGUCGGAUGUGAAAUCCCCGGGCUCAACCUGGGAACUGCAUUCGAAACUGGCAGGCUAGAGUCUUGUAGAGGGGGGUAGAAUUCCAGGUGUAGCGGUGAAAUGCGUAGAGAUCUGGAGGAAUACCGGUGGCGAAGGCGGCCCCCGGGACAAAGACUGACGCUCAGGUGCGAAAGCGUGGGGAGCAAACAGG